UCCCAGACUCCUACGGGAGGCAGCAGUGGGGGAUAUUGCACAAUGGGGGAAACCCUGAUGCAGCGACGCCGCGUGUGGGAAGACGGUCCUCUGGAUUGUAAACCACUGUCCCCAGGGACGAAGAUGACGGUACCUGGGGAGGAAGCUCCGGCUAACUACGUGCCAGCAGCCGCGGUAAUACGUAGGGAGCGAGCGUUGUCCGGAAUUACUGGGUGUAAAGGGAGUGUAGGUGGCAUAACAAGUCAGAAGUGAAAGCCCGGGGCUCAACCGCGGGACUGCUUUUGAAACUGUUAAGCUUGAGUGCAGGAGAGGUAAGCGGAAUUCCUAGUGUAGCGGUGAAAUGCGUAGAUAUUAGGGGGAACACCAGUGGCGAAGGCGGCUUACUGGACUGUAACUGACACUGAGGCUCGAAAGCGUGGGGAGCAAACAGGAUUAGAUACCCUAGUA
This 447-nucleotide ribosomal RNA is filed under the name uncultured bacterium. RNAcentral's name for it is "bacterial SSU rRNA". It matches the Rfam family "Bacterial small subunit ribosomal RNA", at positions 329 to 792 of the family's 1533-position model. The record is from RNAcentral.